This 717-nucleotide long non-coding RNA is filed under the name Androctonus crassicauda. The record is from RNAcentral. Lineage: Eukaryota; Metazoa; Arthropoda; Arachnida; Scorpiones; Buthidae.
CUAUUACGUAUUUGAUAUUUUGAUAGAAUAUAAUGUCAAUAAAAUAUAUGAUUUUUUACACGCUUUGCUAUAUUUUCAUUCAUUUUUUAUUUUAUUUUUACUUCUGUAAAAUGGCCAUUUUACCCGACUGGAUUGGGCAAAGUAGCCACCGAAUAAACUUUUAACUAUUUAAAUGGGAGAAAAGUUGCAGUUUAAUAAUGAAUAAACAGCAAUGUCAUUCUACACUGGAGGUAAACCUAAUUAUGAUCAAAAUGCAAUAACGAAGAUGACACAAAGCAUUAUAUUUUUAAUGAUUUUAUCUUAAAAAAUUUAAAAAUAAAUUUUAAAUCUCUUUCAAUUUAUUUUCUUUGGCAAUGGGGAAGCAACUAGCUCAAAUGCAUUCUUGAAACCAAUGUUAUCCAUCUGCAAUAGUUUAGAUAUUCAUCACCAGAUUUCCGAAGAAUACAGAGUAGCAAUAUCCAAUGGCCAUUUUAUCCGCUCUGACCACAUUAUCCUGCUCUCCCCUAUAUAUAUAAAUAUAUUUAUAAGUAUAAAUUAUAUUCUUGUUAAUUAUUCAGUUAAAAUUGCUGCUAAUAAUAAUAAGAUAUUUAUAUAUUAUACUAUACAUUAAUAAAUUUAAAGUUUUUAAAAUCUUAUUAAAACAUUUUAUGUAUAAAGUUAGCACAGAACUAAUUUAUUUCUUGGGAAAGGCUAUUCAUUAUGUAUUGAUAACUGAAA